AUUGAACGCUGGCGGCAGGCCUAACACAUGCAAGUCGAACGAGUGGCGGACGGGUGAGUAAUGUCUGGGAACUGCCUGAUGGAGGGGGAUAACUACUGGAAACGGUAGCUAAUACCGCAUACUAUCGGAUAACCCAUAUGGGAUUAGCUAGUAGGUGAGGUAAUGGCUCACCUAGGCGACGAUCCCUAGCUGGUCUGAGAGGAUGAUCAGCCACACUGGGACUGAGACACGGCCAAGACUCCUACGGAGGCAGCAGUGGGGAAUAUUGCACAAUGGGCGCAAGCCUGAUGCAGCCAUGCCGCGUGUAUGAAGAAGGCCUUCGGGUUGUAAAGUACUUUUGGCAGAGAAGCGGUAUCUGCAGAAUAAGCACCGGCUAACUACGUGCCAGCAGCCGCGGUAAUUC
Molecule: ribosomal RNA, 403 nt
Filed under: uncultured bacterium
Lineage: Bacteria
Description: partial 16S ribosomal RNA
Rfam family: Bacterial small subunit ribosomal RNA
Source: RNAcentral